This 1381-nucleotide long non-coding RNA is filed under the name Gossypium raimondii (Peruvian cotton). Its description in RNAcentral is "long non-coding RNA (GRAI_LNC010862)". Lineage: Eukaryota; Viridiplantae; Streptophyta; Magnoliopsida; Malvales; Malvaceae. The record is from RNAcentral.
UAAUUUCCCUAAAAAUGUAAUUAAAAUGUGCAUGAAUUUUUUGGGCUGCGCAAGGGCUUGGUUACAAUACAGGCAUGCAAUGUUGCAACCAACCACAAAGGGUAUGUUGUGACACAAGGGUCGUGUCUUGACAUCGAGGGUAGUUUUUCUCCAAAACUUGUUUUUAGCUUCUAUCUUCGACGUUGAGACAUCAGUAUAUUGAUGUCGCGACAUAGGCAUCAAUUUUGGCCCGGAUAAGUAUAUUUAGCUCUCGUCUUGACCUACAAGACCAUGUAACCUUAUUUAGAUAUAUGGAAUCUAGUAAAAACUACUAAAAAGCAUAAAUUAUUGCUUUAAGUAUGAAAACCUAAAUAUAUACUAAGAUGCUUUGAUUUAACAAUCAAACAAGCUAAAGUUAUAUGUAAAAAAGGUAUAAAUAAUAGUGUAAUUCAUGGCAGAUCAAAUACCUCUAGAGAAACCAAUUGCUUCCACCCAGUGAGAACACUGAAUGCCAAGACUAGUGAUAAUUGAGUCAACUUUGCCACUACUAACUCUUGUUUCUAACAGGCCAACAAUAUCCAGUUCAUAUUUCCGAUUAUACUCACGAAAAAUUCACGGAAACUUUCUACUAGCACACCUUUGACAAUUCCAAUAAAAAAUAGAUAAACUCAUAAAAAUAAAAAUAAGAGAAAGGAGGAGAGCUUACCGUAAAUCCUGACUAACAACUACCUUCAUGACAUUUCCCAUCGCAAUUCAAACUCCCCUUCUCAACCUCACUAUUAAUUUGUGAACUGAUAAGUUUGGCCAUGGAAUUCAUACUGUUUGACAACAGAACCCUCGAACUACCACAAUUCUUAAAACACUCCCACGUUCUCAAAUUAUCUUACUGGUAGCACUACCACUUCAAACAGUACCACCCUUAACCCUUGACCCCCUAUAUUUCGAAACCAGGAUCCCUUUACCUCUCCCAAUCAAAUCAACAACUCUAUUAGGCUUGCCAUGCUAAGGUACCUCAUUCUCCUUGAAGGUAACAGCUGAGUGUCUCAUAAGAUCAAUGACCUCAUUAUUAAGUUCCACGACCGACUCUACCAGACCAUCAAAAGUUGGGUUAAAUAGGCAGUAAUACCUUAAAGGGUCGGUCCUUCCUAAGUAGCUGACACCUCCGAAUGGGAAACAAGCUCCGUAUCAUCCCCCUGCAACACCAUAAAAUUCCCCAAGAUAAUUGAUAACUCCAAACCCUCGCCCCUUGGAGCUGGUUGGUCAAGCCCAAUAGAAACGGAGUUUUUAAAAUUCCCAGAAGCCUCAAUCCCCAAAUUUGGGUAAUCAAGCGUUGGUCCAUUUUGUUUGCCAAUGUCUCUCAAACCAGGCCCAAUAUCCACCAAACAAUCAACCCCAUUCCAAG